RNAcentral lists this ribosomal RNA (253 nucleotides) under uncultured bacterium. RNAcentral describes it as "partial 16S ribosomal RNA". It matches the Rfam family "Bacterial small subunit ribosomal RNA", at positions 524 to 776 of the family's 1533-position model. The record is from RNAcentral.
UACGUAGGGUGCGAGCGUUAAUCGGAAUUACUGGGCGUAAAGCGUGCGCAGGCGGUGAUGUAAGACAGGUGUGAAAUCCCCGGGCUUAACCUGGGAACUGCGCUUGUUACUGGCAGACUUGAGUGUGGCAGAGGGGGGUGGAAUUCCAGGUGUAGCAGUGAAAUGCGUAGAUAUCUGGAGGAACACCGAUGGCGAAGGCAGCCCCCUGGGCUAACACUGACGCUGAUGCACGAAAGCGUGGGGAGCAAACAGG